This 484-nucleotide ribosomal RNA is filed under the name uncultured bacterium. RNAcentral describes it as "partial 16S ribosomal RNA". It matches the Rfam family "Bacterial small subunit ribosomal RNA", at positions 29 to 507 of the family's 1533-position model. The record is from RNAcentral.
AUUGAACGCUGGCGGCAUGCUUUACACAUGCAAGUCGAACGGCAGCGCGGGUUUCGGCCUGGCGGCGAGUGGCGAACGGGUGAGUAAUACAUCGGAACGUGCCCAGUAGUGGGGGAUAGCUCGGCGAAAGCCGGAUUAAUACCGCAUACGACCUGAGGGUGAAAGCGGGGGAUCUUCGGACCUCGCGCUAUUGGAGCGGCCGAUGGCAGAUUAGCUAGUUGGUGGGGUAAAGGCCUACCAAGGCGACGAUCUGUAGCUGGUCUGAGAGGACGACCAGCCACACUGGGACUGGGACACGGCCCCGACUCCUACGGGAGGCAGCAGUGGGGAAUUUUGGACAAUGGGCGAAAGCCUGAUCCAGCAAUGCCGCGUGGUUGAUGAAGGCCUUCGGGUUGGAAAGCACUUUUGGCGGGAACGAAAAGGACUGUGCCAAUACCACGGUUCGAUGACGGUACCCGCAGAAUAAGCACCGGCUAACUACGUG